UUCCUGUACCACCUAUAAUCGUUUUAAUCGAUGGGGGGACGCAGUAGGAUAGGCGAAGCGUGCGAUUGGAUUGCACGUCUAAGCAGUAAGGCUGAGUAUUAGGCAAAUCCGGUACUCGUUAAGGCUGAGCUGUGAUGGGGAGAAGACAUUGUGUCUUCGAGUCGUUGAUUUCACACUGCCGAGAAAAGCCUCUAGAUAGAAAAUAGGUGCCCGUACCGCAAACCGACACAGGUAGUCAAGAUGAGAAUUCUAAGGUGAGCGAGCGAACUCUCGUUAAGGAACUCGGCAAAAUGACCCCGUAACUUCGGGAGAAGGGGUGCUCUUUAGGGUUAACGCCCAGAAGAGCCGCAGUGAAUAGGCCCAAGCGACUGUUUAUCAAAAACACAGGUCUCUGCUAAACCGUAAGGUGAUGUAUAGGGGCUGACGCCUGCCCGGUGCUGGAAGGUUAAGAGGAGUGGUUAGCUUCUGCGAAGCUACGAAUCGAAGCCCCAGUAAACGGCGGCCGUAACUAUAACGGUCCUAAGGUAGCGAAAUUCCUUGUCGGGUAAGUUCCGACCCGCACGAAAGGCGUAACGAUUUGGGCACUGUCUCAACGAGAGACUCGGUGAAAUCAUAGUACCUGUGAAGAUGCAGGUUACCCGCGACAGGACGGAAAGACCCCGUGGAGCUUUACUGUAGCCUGAUAUUGAAAUUCGGCACAGCUUGUACAGGAUAGGUAGGAGCCUUUGAAACGUGAGCGCUAGCUUACGUGGAGGCGCUGGUGGGAUACUACCCUAGCUGUGUUGGCUUUCUAACCCGCACCACUUAUCGUGGUGGGAGACAGUGUCAGGCGGGCAGUUUGACUGGGGCGGUCGCCUCCUAAAAGGUAACGGAGGCGCUCAAAGGUUCCCUCAGAAUGGUUGGAAAUCAUUCAUAGAGUGUAAAGGCAUAAGGGAGCUUGACUGCGAGACCUACAAGUCGAGCAGGGUCGAAAGACGGACUUAGUGAUCCGGUGGUUCCGCAUGGAAGGGCCAUCGCUCAACGGAUAAAAGCUACCCCGGGGAUAACAGGCUUAUCUCCCCCAAGAGUUCACAUCGACGGGGAGGUUUGGCACCUCGAUGUCGGCUCAUCGCAUCCUGGGGCUGUAGUCGGUCCCAAGGGUUGGGCUGUUCGCCCAUUAAAGCGGUACGCGAGCUGGGUUCAGAACGUCGUGAGACAGUUCGGUCCCUAUCCGUCGUGGGCGUAGGAAAUUUGAGAGGAGCUGUCCUUAGUACGAGAGGACCGGGAUGGACAUACCUCUGGUGUACCAGUUGUCGUGCCAACGGCAUAGCUGGGUAGCUAUGUGUGGACGGGAUAAGUGCUGAAAG
This 1346-nucleotide ribosomal RNA is filed under the name Staphylococcus aureus. RNAcentral describes it as "partial 23S ribosomal RNA". It matches the Rfam family "Bacterial large subunit ribosomal RNA", at positions 1436 to 2777 of the family's 2925-position model. The record is from RNAcentral. Lineage: Bacteria; Bacillati; Bacillota; Bacilli; Caryophanales; Staphylococcaceae.